This 478-nucleotide ribosomal RNA is filed under the name uncultured bacterium. RNAcentral describes it as "partial 16S ribosomal RNA". It matches the Rfam family "Bacterial small subunit ribosomal RNA", at positions 28 to 523 of the family's 1533-position model. The record is from RNAcentral.
GACGAACGCUGGCGGCGUGCUUAACACAUGCAAGUCGAACGGUAAGGCCCUUCGGGGUACACGAGUGGCGAACGGGUGAGUAACACGUGGGUGAUCUGCCCUGCACUUCGGGAUAAGCCUUGGAAACUGGGUCUAAUACCGGAUAGGACCACUGCCUGCAUGGGCGGUGGUGGAAAGCUUUUGCGGUGUGGGAUGGGCCCGCGGCCUAUCAGCUUGUUGGUGGGGGGAUGGCCUACCAAGGCGACGACGGGUAGCCGGCCUGCGAGGGUGACCGGCCACACUGGGACUGAGAUACGGCCCAGACUCCUACGGGAGGCAGCAGUGGGGAAGAUUGUACAAUGGGCGCAAGCCUGAUGCAGCGACGCCGCGUGAGGGAUGACGGCCUUCGGGUUGUAAACCUCUUUCAGCACCGACGAAGCGCAAGUGACGGUAGGUGCAGAAGAAGGACCGGCCAACUACGUGCCAGCCGCCGCAGUAA